UCCUUCAAAAACUAGAUAAAUAAUACUAUUGCUAUCCGGUUUCUUCAAAUAAGUUUUUAGGGUUUGUGAUUUUGGAUUUCUUGGAUUCUUUAACUAUUGCUAAUAGGCAGAAAAGAUUGCAACAUUGGUGAAAGCAGCCAAUGUGCAAAUUGAAUCUUACUGGCCAGGCUUAUUUGCUAAGCUUGCUGAGAAGCGCAACAUUGAGGACCUCAUCAUGAAUGUUGGCUCUGGUGGUGGUGCUGCUGUUGCUGUUGCUGCCCCAGCUGGUGGUGCACCUGCCGCCGCCGCCGCUCCUGCCGCUGAGGAGAAGAAGGUGAGAAGAAAGCAACAAAUCGGAUUUGUUGAAUUGGGUGGUGGUUGUUUGAGGUACUUGAUAUUUCUAACUGUUGUGUGAUUCGUUUUAUUAAUUUUACAGGAAC
This 419-nucleotide long non-coding RNA is filed under the name Populus tremula. RNAcentral's name for it is "long non-coding RNA (PTRE_LNC000944)". The record is from RNAcentral. Lineage: Eukaryota; Viridiplantae; Streptophyta; Magnoliopsida; Malpighiales; Salicaceae.